UCACUCAUCACCCUGUGACAUACCUAUAACGUUGCCUCGGCGGGAACAGACGGCCCCGUAACACGGGCCGCCCCCGCCAGAGGACCCCCUAACUCUGUUUCUAUAAUGUUUCUUCUGAGUAAACAAGCAAAUAAAUUAAAACUUUCAACAACGGAUCUCUUGGCUCUGGCAUCGAUGAAGAACGCAGCGAAAUGCGAUAAGUAAUGUGAAUUGCAGAAUUCAGUGAAUCAUCGAAUCUUUGAACGCACAUUGCGCCCGCCAGUAUUCUGGCGGGCAUGCCUGUUCGAGCGUCAUUACAACCCUCAGGCCCCCGGGCCUGGCGUUGGGGAUCGGCGGAAGCCCCCUGCGGGCACAACGCCGUCCCCCAAAUACAGUGGCGGUCCCGCCGCAGCUUCCAUUGCGUAGUAGCUAACACCUCGCAACUGGAGAGCGGCGCGGCCACGCCGUAAAACACCCAACUUCUGAAUGUUGACCUCGAAUCAGGUAGGAAUACCCGCUGAACUUAAGCAUAUCAAUAAGCGGAGGA
This 526-nucleotide ribosomal RNA is filed under the name Fusarium solani. Its description in RNAcentral is "eukaryotic LSU rRNA". The stretch from base 140 to 293 matches the Rfam family "5.8S ribosomal RNA". Lineage: Eukaryota; Fungi; Ascomycota; Sordariomycetes; Hypocreales; Nectriaceae. The record is from RNAcentral.